This 301-nucleotide ribosomal RNA is filed under the name uncultured bacterium. Its description in RNAcentral is "partial 16S ribosomal RNA". It matches the Rfam family "Bacterial small subunit ribosomal RNA", at positions 509 to 807 of the family's 1533-position model. The record is from RNAcentral.
CAGUAGCCGCGGUAAUACGGAGGGUGCAAGCGUUAAUCGGAAUUACUGGGCGUAAAGCGUGCGUAGGCGGUUCGUUAAGUCUGUUGUGAAAGCCCCGGGCUCGACCUGGGAAUGGCAAUGGAUACUGGCGAGCUAGAGUGUGUCAGAGGAUGGUGGAAUUCCCGGUGUAGCGGUGAAAUGCGUAGAGAUCGGGAGGAACAUCAGUGGCGAAGGCGGCCAUCUGGGACAACACUGACGCUGAGGCACGAAAGCGUGGGUAGCAAACAGGAUUAGAUACCCGAGUAGUCCCUGUCUCUUAUAC